UACGUAGGUGGCAAGCGUUGUCCGGAAUUAUUGGGCGUAAAGCGCGCGCAGGCGGUCCUUUAAGUCUGAUGUGAAAGCCCACGGCUCAACCGUGGAGGGUCAUUGGAAACUGGGGGACUUGAGUGCAGAAGAGGAAAGCGGAAUUCCACGUGUAGCGGUGAAAUGCGUAGAUAUCGAGAGGAACACCUGCGGCGAAGGCGGGUAGCUGGGCCGACACUGACGCUGAUGCGCGAAAGCCAGGGGAGCGAACGGG
Molecule: ribosomal RNA, 253 nt
Filed under: uncultured bacterium
Lineage: Bacteria
Description: partial 16S ribosomal RNA
Rfam family: Bacterial small subunit ribosomal RNA
Source: RNAcentral